ACAAGCAUAAUCUCUGGCCUUGGUUUCAAUGGGUGCUGUCCAAUGAGCAAGGGGCAUAUAAUCCCUGACCCCCUUUGCUAGGUUGAUGGGUGAGAACUUUGUGCUGUAUAAUGUUUCAGCUACCAGAAAAAAUGAUACCAGGUUGACCAAUAUUCAAUAUAAUAACCUCUUGGCAAAUAAUACUGCCACUAGUACUUCAGUAUGUGUUAGAUCACCUUUUUCUUUCUGAUAAGCACUAACGUCAGCAAUGGUGUUUUAAAUUGUAAUAGCUCUGAUGUAGUCUGCUAUUUAGCUGAAUGCUGGGAUGACACCAAUGACACCGCAGUGAUGGUUAAGAUUCCCUCCUUUGUGCCAAUCCCAGUGGAGGCAAACCCGGAUAGCUUUCCUACUCUUAAUUUGCUGAGAGCCAAAAGAGA
Molecule: long non-coding RNA, 416 nt
Filed under: Rattus norvegicus (Norway rat)
Lineage: Eukaryota; Metazoa; Chordata; Mammalia; Rodentia; Muridae
Description: long non-coding RNA NONRATT003074
Source: RNAcentral